AUGGACUUGGGGUUCCCUGGGGUCUCGCUCAGGCUUAUCCUCUCACUUGGCUCUGGGCUUGGGCCUGGGUCCUUCCUGGCCCCUGCAGGGCCGCUGCUUCCUCCGCCUGCCCGAGUCCUUGGCAGCUCGGCCCCGUGCCCGGGGCAGGGUGCCGGACCCCGAGGAGUCAGAGAAGGACUUGUCCAGGGACGUGUCCAGCGCGGACUCCGGGGCCGUGUCCUCCUCGUCCCCGGGGCGGCUGGAGCCAUGGCCGUGAGCAGCUGGGUCCUCGGGCCCCUCGGCCGUGCUGUCGGCCUCCACCCGGUGGACGACACCCAAGCCUGCAGGGUCCUCCUGCUCCCGCCUGGGACUCUCGGCUCCAGGGGGCUUCUUGCAGGAGAACUCGAGCAGCUUGAGAGCCUGGUCGUCCCCCAGAGUCACUGGCCAGGCCCCCAUGGAGGGCAGGGUGCUCGGGGCGUCCUCGCCGGCCAGGAAGUGGAAAAGACCCAGCCGGACCUCCUGCAGCUGCUGUGGGACCUGGAGCUGCCCUCCCAGGCCGCGGGGCUCAACCUGGAGACCCAGCCGGACCUCCUGCUGGGUCUUUUCCACUUCCUCCAGCACGUGCGGCAGCAGCGUGACGCGGCCCAGCAGGGACGUGGUCUCCGUGAGCUUCGGCAGCGUGCUGAUCUUGAAGCCGUCCGCGUCCCGCAUGUGGCUGCCCUAGUUGAGGAAGUCCCCGAUCUUGAGGAUCAGCCUGCGGAAGACGGGCAGCUGGGGGCUGGCGAGCAGGCUCUCGCAGGCGUGCAGCACCAGCUGGGCCUUGGGCCGCACCAUGUCCAGCACGAAGGCUGUGCCCUCACCCAGCAGCAUGCACACCACCCGCAGCUGGCAGCAGGGGACGUCCAGCAGCAGCAGGUAGAACUGGUCCGCGCCGGCCGGCCUGGCUCAGUCGUCAGCGAAGGCCCGCAGGUUCUCAAUCUCGCGUUUCGCCGGGAGCAGCUUCAGGAGCUGUCUGAGCACUUCCGUGUCAAACCUGCUGGUGUCUCCCGCACGGAGCAUGGCCACCACCUUCUCGUUGGAGCACUUAAACUGCUUCAGGAAGAUGCUGAGGUUCAGGCUCUUCCUGGAGUACAGAAAAGUGACCUCCUUGGGCUCCUUCCUGCCGGGGCGGCUGCUGGCUCCUUGGGCUUGUCCACAGAGAAGGAGAAGAGCCGCUCGAGGCUGCCGAAGUCGGGCUCCAGGGCUCCAGGGCCGCGCUGCCCAGGCCGCUCAGGGCCGCCCACUUGGAGUUGCGCUCUCGGGCCACGCUGGACAGCAGCUUCUUCCAGUUCAGCUUCUUCAUGUGCAGCGUGGGUGAGUUCACGCGCCGGUGGCUGGGGACCCAGGCGGAGCCCAGGCCGUGGUCCACCUGGGACACGAUGA
This 1401-nucleotide long non-coding RNA is filed under the name Oryctolagus cuniculus (rabbit). RNAcentral describes it as "lncRNA (ENSOCUG00000035568.1)". The record is from RNAcentral. Lineage: Eukaryota; Metazoa; Chordata; Mammalia; Lagomorpha; Leporidae.